GGUCUGUAGCUCAGUGGUAGAACACUUGCCUAGCAUAAGCAAGGCACUGAGUUCAAUCCUCAGCACUCCA
RNAcentral lists this transfer RNA (70 nucleotides) under Marmota monax (woodchuck). RNAcentral's name for it is "tRNA.Ala". The record is from RNAcentral. Lineage: Eukaryota; Metazoa; Chordata; Mammalia; Rodentia; Sciuridae.